This 460-nucleotide ribosomal RNA is filed under the name uncultured bacterium. RNAcentral describes it as "partial 16S ribosomal RNA". It matches the Rfam family "Bacterial small subunit ribosomal RNA", at positions 338 to 795 of the family's 1533-position model. The record is from RNAcentral.
CCUACGGGUGGCAGCAGUGAGGAAUAUUGGUCAAUGGGCGAGAGCCUGAACCAGCCAAGUCGCGUGAAGGAUGAAGGAUCUAUGGUUUGUAAACUUCUUUUAUAUGGGAAUAAAGUGAGGAACGUGUUCCUUUUUGUAUGUACCAUAUGAAUAAGCAUCGGCUAACUCCGUGCCAGCAGCCGCGGUAAUACGGAGGAUGCGAGCGUUAUCCGGAUUUAUUGGGUUUAAAGGGUGCGUAGGUGGUUAAUUAAGUCAGCGGUGAAAGUUUGUGGCUCAACCAUAAAAUUGCCGUUGAAACUGGUAGUCUUGAGUACAGUUGAGGUAGGCGGAAUUCGUGGUGUAGCGGUGAAAUGCUUAGAUAUCACGAAGAACUCCGAUUGCGAAGGCAGCUUACUAAACUGCCACUGACAUUGAUGCUCGAAAGUGUGGGUAUCAAACAGGAUUAGAUACCCCUGUAGUC